Globicephala melas (long-finned pilot whale) is the source of this 11352-nucleotide long non-coding RNA. RefSeq lists it as uncharacterized. The record is from RefSeq and is a predicted model, not a curated record. Lineage: Eukaryota; Metazoa; Chordata; Mammalia; Artiodactyla; Delphinidae.
UCUCUCCCAAGACCCUGAGAAAGGCUGCAUGAGAGGAUAUUUAGCAAGAGAUUUGAAAAAAGAUCACUUUGACUACAGCGUACUGAGUGGAGGGCGUAGGGGCCAAGAGGCAGGAAUGGAAGCAUGGCGAUCUGUGAGGAGUCCUCCACUGUGGCUCAGAUGAGAGAUGGCAGUGCCUUCCACUGGUACUGCAGCUCGUUAGUGAGAAAUGAGUAUGUAUUUUGGAAGCUGGAACCAACUGGACCCAAUGCAUUAGACAUGGAGAGGAAAAGGAAAGAGAGAGAGGAAGGAGUCAAGGAUAACUACUGAGUUUUUGGUUUAAGCAACUGGGUGGAUGCCAGUGCCAUGAAUGGUGAUUUGGAUUCUAGUUCUGCUGGGGGACCCAGGGCAGAUAAGUGACUUACUCUCUGCUGAGUCUCAGUUUUCUCAUCUGUAAAAUGGGGGUUGCCAUGGAGGUUUGAUGAGAUCAUGCACGGAAAGCACAGGUCUGGCACACGAAUAACCCUGAGAGGCAUACGGUAUCCUCAUCAUGAUGCUUUGGAAACUGUGGCUUGGAGGUUGCGACUUGCUCAAGGUCAUCCCACUGCCACCACUUGUCCAGGCUUUCUCUGUCAUCCCAAUAGUGGUGUCCUCCACCUCCGCAGCCAUCUCCAGUGCAGGUGCAGUACUGAAGAAGAGAAAUAAGGAACAGGUGUCAUCUGUUUCUCGGUCAAAUAACCUAAGCGCAGCACUGUAGGAUAGGAGCCAGGAGCCUGGCCACUGAAGCAGCAGCCAUCCCACGUGGUUGGUGGAGGGACAGCCCCAGUUGUCCGGGAAAGCCACGCUGCUGUAUCCUCAGUGCCCAGUCCAGCUGAGAACCGUGGGCCACAGAGCGUGCUGCGGUGGAAGCAGAGGAGAGACUAGGCUCCAGCUGCUCUGUCCAGGGGCCCAUCUGCCUCCUACCUCAUCCCGACACCUCAGACUUGCCGCUUCUACCUUUCCCGGACAAGAAGUGUUCCUACAAGGAUUUGGAAGUUUCAGAAGUGCCCUCCUGCCACGUGAAGGUCCUAUGCCUAGUUUCUGUGGUACCUCCUUCCUUCUCUCCAGCGUCAUGCGCCCCGGACAGCUGUAGCUUCCCCAGAUGCUCCCACAAGGCUCUUGGAUCAGGAAACUGAGGGCAAGGUGACAACCAGAUCAUGCGUUUCACCUCUCCGUGAAUGAAAGGGGCCGGAGCACCAGACAAGACAGACGUCGUUCUUGCCUUCAUGGGAUUUACAUUCCAGUUGGUGGGGAUAGGGGGAGAAUACAACAGUAUCUGCGUGACUAUAGAGGAUAUAGAUAUGUAUCGUGCGGCACAUUCUAUGAAGGAGAUAAAAUCGGAUGGCACAAUGGAGUCACGGUGUGCGUGCGGGGGGUGAGAGGGCUUCAACUGAAUGGUGGGGAAGUGUUCCCUGAAGGGGUGGCACUUGAGCAGAGACUUGAAGGAGCCCUGCUGGGGCUGUGGAAGAGCUGAGGGAGGACAAGACAGUUUGUACAAAGACCCUGAGGCAACACAGAGCUCAGUGUGUUGGAGGAAUGGAAAGGAGGCCAGUGUGGUUGGGGCAGAAUGCCCCUGAGGGAGACUGAUGGGAAGUGAGGUCGGAGACGCGACAGCGGGGAGGGAAGGCUCACAGGUAGUGCAAGGGGAGGAUUCGGGUUUCAUCCCCAAAGUUAUGGGAACCCGUGGAAGGGCUUUCCGCAGAGAAAUGAAAUGAUCUGAUGUGUGGUUUUUGAAGGCCCCUCUGGUUACCUAUUGGAGUACAAGAGUGUCUUGCUCUGCUGUCUGUCAGGGCUUUGAUUGCCCCCAGGCACUGGGGAGGCCUGACGAUGUAGGGACCCCCACGGGGACCUGGCAUCUGUCAUUCACCACUCCAUCUCCCUCUGUCUCCCCGCCUCACUGGCCUGCUGCACAGGCCCACUUUCCAGACUAGUAGGAACAUAGAGGAGACACUGUCCUUUGUGUCUCUUGACUAACUUUACUUGCAUCAUUUUACUGUUAUUAUUUUCUACAGAUGUUUGUGACAUUCUGAUUUUAAGUGAAUGACACAGACUCAUGGGCAAGGAAACAGCGGGAAGGAGGAGAGUGGCUUUUCUCCUUGAGUCUUUUCUUGCCACCCUUGCUGACUAUGAAUAUUACUGAGGAAUCUCAUUCUGGAGCAGAAGUCAAGCCACAGGUGGUUCCCAGGAUCCUUAGACCCCUGCUGUUACCUCCUUUCCACCCAUGGUUGCCUGGGGACGGUCUGUUCUGCUCCUGUCCAGGUGUUAAGGCUGGAUAAGCAGGGAGAGAAGGACCAAGCCGGGGCGUCGCUGGCCUCACCUCCUCCCCCUUUUACAACCCUCUAGGCUGAUAUAGAAUGAGAAACGCUACACUGCCUGUCACACCCCAACCCUGUCCAGUGCUUUCCUGAGGUCAACAGAGACUUGUCCUGAAAACACGCCCUGCUCUGGCCUGCAGAGUAUUAAGAGACUUUUCCAUAGGUCAGCGUUUGUUUCCCAGGCCUGGCUGACGCAUCCCCUUUAGCCUCUGAGGAACGGAGGGUGGUAGGGGUAUUUGGGGAGAGAGGGUAUGGUACGCGAUGGAGUAACCACUUUGAAAAAGCAUAUUUGAUAUAAUUUUAUAUUUCAAACCCCAAAACAGUUGUUUUAUGAUGUGGACCAGUGAAAGUCAGCUUCUGCUUCAUUUUUACUAAAGGUCAAGGGGUACUGAGAAGACAAGAUGGCAUCUCAAGCCCAAGUCAAUGGAGGGAGCUGUAUCCAGGGCUAAUUGAGGCAAAGCUCCAAGCUCCUCUCCAGAGCCCAUCCCAGCUCAGCACCCCCUUCGUUGCCAUCACCACACAUAACCCAUAGGGAGAUGUAUGCAGGAGUGAAACACUCAAGUUUUAGGGUCAUCAAGUUAUAUUCAAAUCUCGGUUCCCAUCCCAUUUCUGGCCGUGUGUUCUUUGGCAAGUUACCUAACCUAUAGUUAACCCACUAAAGCCCUAGUUUCUGGAGUUGAGAGCAUGGACUCUGGAGCCAGCUGUGUGGCUUGGAGUCCUGGUUCUGCUACUUGUUAGCUGUGUAACCUUGGGCAGGGUGACUCAUCUCCAGGCCUCCCUCAGUUUCCUCAUUUGUGGAAUGGGAAUAAUAACACACCUGCCUUAUAGGGUUGCUGUGAGGAUUGAAGUGAAUGUGUAUAGGUAUGCAUACACGUGUGUGUGUGUGUGUAUACACGUGUACAUUUAUGUAUAAAUGUGUGUAUGUAAGUGGGUGCCUGGGGCAUAGCAGGCACGUAUAGUACUGGCUGUUACUAUUAUUAUUUUAUCUUUGUUUAGCAUAAGACUAAAUUGUGUGUGAGAAAAAUAAGUCGAUUUCUUAAAACUCCGUAAGUAAAUCAUAUUGCAGGUGGUGUGGGGACACAGAAGUUGUGAUACUGCUGUUUGAUAACUGAAGUGAAACGCGAGGCUGGACCACAGCGUUCUAUCCUCUCCUUCACAUCUCACUGCUUCCCGCUGACUUCUCGAUCUUUUCCUGCUACUUCUUUUCUUUAUUGGAUUUUUCUAUGGUGUCGCUUAUGGAAGACCAGCCUCCUUAGGUCUCUAUUGAAUUCUUCUAGCCCUCUCAUCCUUCCUACUCCUCCACCUGCAGAAUUAUUCUCAUGAGGAUUCCAGAGUCCCAUAACCACUCUCCCCUCCAAGAGGGGGAGACACCUAUUGUAUCAUAGAUACAGCAGUUCUCAAAGUGUGGCCUCUGGACCGGCAGCAUCAGCGUCACCUGGGAACUUGCUGGAAACGGACAUUCUUGACCCCUCACCCUACACCUGCUGAAUCAAAAACUCUGGGGGUAGAGCAUUGCGAUUUGUCUCUUAACCAGCCCUUCAGGAGAUUUUGGUGCACGCUAAGGUUUGAGAGCCACUGUCCCAGAGGAAGAGUAGGUCCAGUGGCUUUGUGAUGUUGUUCAAGUUCACAGUCCUGUUCUGGACACCUGGGGCUCAUGUGAAACUGUAAGUCUCAGUUGUGAACACAGGGACCAGAGGCAGAAGGGGAGGUCGAAAGGGAGCCAGCUGGCCACUCUGAAUGACUUUUAGCCUGGUUCCCUCCUGAACCUUCCAAAGGUAGAGCUCAGGCAUGUCAGCCAGGCAGUCGGGGAGACAGGCUGGAUUCCCAUGUGGGCUCUGUCUGGAUCAGCUGUGAGGUCCUGGGGAGUCGCUUAACCUCUCUGGGCUUCCUUGUGGGUUGUAGCCCUGUGUGAAUAGAGCAGGAUUGUUUGGGGGAGUAAGUGAGGGAACAUUUGCAAAAACACUUCACGAGACUGAAAAUAGUCCUCUAUUGUAAAUUGUAACCAGACAAGUAAACUCCUUCCUGGAGUGAUCCUCAACUUUUUUCCGGUGGCCACACGUGGGACUGAUCAUGCUCACGUGCUGGACAAACUCCCAGAGCAUUCCAACUGCAACUUCUCCCAUUCCUCUCUUGCUCAGCAGAGAGAAUGUGGACAGCUCGAGUCAGAAGUUCCAAGGAGCAGAAACGAUGUCUCUCUGCCUCGUGGCCAUGACCUUGUCAGUCUCCUCUGCCUCACGCUAGCCCCGUUCAGCACUGUGCAGUAUUCCCAUCAGCAUCUCGCUAACCCUCCUCUCUUCCCCCUCCCUGGUUCCGUCCAUCUCUUGGAAGUGAGCCCCUUGCCUUGUCCCCAACAGCGUGGCCCUCUCCUGAGUCCUUCCACUCCAUGCCAUCAAAGGCCCUUUCCCAGAGCACGAGCAGACACCUAAGAACUUCACUUCACUCUGACUUUUUAUUGAGCGAGAGGGUGGCGGCCUCCAAAAGGAAGUCUCCAGGCUCCUAGCGAGGCGGCAGAGCUGGAGCUGCCUCUCCUCAUCUGGCUCUGCGCCGAGGUCAGGCUUUUACCAAGAUCGCCGUGCCACUGGCAGAAAGUCAAUAGUUGAUUACUUCUCUGUCUUUCCUCAGAAAGCCCUGUCUUGACAGCUCCAUCUAAAGGCGUCCUCUCCUCCUUAUUACAAUACUCCGUUGUGUUUUCUUCAUCGUGUUUUACCAGGAUCUGAAAUCAUUUUGUUUGUCGACACUUCCUGGUGACUGAGAAGUGCUGCUCAGGUCACAGGCUUGGUUUUAUAAUGCUCCGGUAAAAGCUGUUUGUUGUGCCUAAUAAUUAGAAACACGCACGUAGGCAUGCUUUCAGGUUAAGCAAACAAGCAUUUCUAUUUUAUUUAUUUAUUUAUUUUUUGCGGUACGCGGGCCUCUCACUGUUGAGGCCUCUCCCGUUGCGGAGCACAGGCUCCGGAUGCGCAGGCUCAGCGGCCAUGGCUCACGGGCCCAGCCACUCCGCGGCAUGUGGGAUCCUCCCGGACCAGGGCACGAACCCGUGUCCCCUGCAUCGGCAGGCGGACUCUCAACCACUGCGCCACCAGGGAAGCCCUAUUAUUAUUAUUAUUUUUUUGGCCGCACUGCACAGCAUGCAGGAUCUUAGUUCCCCAGCCAGGGAUCAACCCUGAGACCCCUGCAACGGAAACGCGGAGUCUUAACCACUGGACCGCCAGGGAAGUCCCUGGAGUCUUUUAUUAGUUUGGUCACAUAGUAAUCGUCUAACGUGCAUCUCAUUCCUGGAGAGUCCAAAUGCUAGACCUGAAAGGAUGUACCAGUAUCCUCCAACUCCAGGGCACUUCCAGAACGUAAACCUCGUGCGAGCUGGUAGCUUCUCUGUCUCGUUGACCAUAGUAUUCCCCGCACCUUGAGCAAGGCCUGACGUGGAGCAGAUACUCUGUAAAUAUAACUGAAUGAAGGAAUGAAAGACAAAUAAGGAUGUGGGCUGGUGUCUCCAUCUCUGGAGAAAGGAGUGCGCCUUUUUCUUCCUGACACCUUGCAGCGAGAGCCUUUUGGGAGAGCUAGCAUCAUGGUUUAGAGCAUGUGAAACCUUUAGAACAGUGCCAAGCCCACAGGAAGUUCUCUAUAAUAUUCCCUGUUCUCCGCGACCCAGGCAGAGGCCCCAGCAGCCUCAUUUCCCUUCCCAGGAUCCUAACAUUUAGCCCUUUAGUGUUCCUUGCAGCACACCCAGUGGAUGUUGGACAAAAUUCUGUACUGCUGUCUCUGAGUCCCACCCACCGGCUCCUGUCUUUUCAGGAAGCUGGUGGAGUAAAAGGAGCACUGGACCUGGAGGAUCAACAUAGAUUCUGGUUCAGGUGUGAACAUUGCCUGGCUGUAUAUCUUUGAGGAAGCUACUUAGCUUCUCUGGACCUUGGAGCCUCGCUGAUGAAAAAGGCAUAAGAAACCAACUUCAGUGAUUAUCUUAUGACUCAAUUGUGAUUAUAUGUGUGGAAACACUUUUAAAACUGCAGAACAGGAACUUCCCUGGUGGCGCAGUGGUUAAGAAUCCACCUGCCAACGCAGGCGACAAGGAUUCGAGCCCUGGUCUGGGAAGAUCCCACAUGCCGCGGAGCAACUGAGCCCGUGCGCCACAACUACUGAGCCUGAGCUCUAGAGCGUGCAAGCCACAGCUACUGAGCCCGUGUGCCACAGCUACUGAAACCCCAGAUGCCUAGAGCCUGUGCUCUGCAACAAGAGAAGCCCCCGCAACGAGAAACUCACACACCGCAACAAAGAGUAACCCCCGCUCGCUGCAAUUAGAGAAAGCCCACGCGCAGCAACGAAGACCCAACGCAGCCAAAAAAAAUAAAUAAAUAAAUUUAUUUUUAAAAACGCUGCAGAACACACUUCUUCUGAUUUAAGUUAUUGUUGUUAACCAAGUAUCUGAUGUAUUAGAGCAGCGAAGGCAGUCCCCAGCAGGCCCAGGACUAUGAGCCGUUCCUUGUCCGUGUGCUUUGCCUCUAACCCUUGCAUGUCCAAAUGCAAAUGAGUUGGUGAAAUUACGAGAAAGAUAGCUUCAACUCUGCUCUCAUUUAUUUUUGAAAUAUCAUAAAAGAUAUAUUUCCGAAACAUCCAUUCUUCAUUAUUGGUGACAAAUUAUUUACCAACUGUUUGUCUUAAUAUCUUGGUUCUAAGGGACAGAAAGUUGCCCAGGCUGAUUAAGGAAAAAUGGGAAGUUUGGGCUAUGGAAUUGAAGAGUCUGGGGCAAAGCUGCUUCAGGAAUGGCCCGAUCCAGGUGCUUAAAUGAAGCUGUUGGUCAUGUGUCUCCAUGUCUUAGCUCUGUUUUCUUAUGCCAGCUUCAUUCUCAGGCAGGCCCUUUCCAAGUAGUGGCCAAGGUGGCUCCCCAAAGUCCCAAGAUUACAUUUUACCAGCCUAGCAACCCUGUGGAAAGAGUGUGCCUCUUUCCAAAUCAUUCCAGAAGAAUCUAGAAAUGGUUGACUCUGGAUGGACUGGCUUGGGCAUGAACCCAAGUCUGGGUGGCAGGCCUUCCCCUGCAGCUGGUUUGGAGCCAGCCUUUUACCCCCAACCCCCCACCCCAUGCCACAUGGACUGAGAGGAGAGAAGGAGUGAUUGACUAAAGGAAAAGUGGGAUGCUGUUACCAGAAGAAGGAGGAAAGGAUGCUUGGCAGGCAAGACUCCAGGUAUCCACUCACAGCUGGUCACCACAAAGGAAACAGGCUCAGCACAGAGGUAAGGACUGUUAGAUAUAGGCCAGCUGAAUACCAGGGCGUUUCCGUACUCUGACGAGGAAGACCAGUUCUGCUAGUUGCCUCCCCACCUCAAUUUAUGUAAUCCCUCCACCAGUUUAUCUCAAGUCCUCACUCAGUUUUCUUGACCUUUCCUAGUCUGGCUUCACCCGUCCACUGGCAGUGAACUCCUCACCUUGUUCCCCAACUGGGUGACCCUGUGGUCACUUGGGCCUCUCAUCCUUUUCCUUUUCUGGGUCAGAUGUUAAGGCCCUUUCUCCCAGGCACUUGCUCUGUGUUUUGGGUGACUAGCCUCAUGCCAUUCCCGAGCAGAUGGCUCUCAGAGUUCAGCCCUGAAUGGACAUUUACCAACUUGUGGAACAAGGUGCAGAGACACAGGUACUUUCUGCCAUCUCAGGGUCUCCCAGGAGCCAAGAACAUUUACGCUUGAACUUGCAAUGUGUCAGGAAGGGGAAGUUCAAGAGUUGAGCUCUUUCUCAGGUCACUCAGCCCCGUUUCCCCCCAAACUCUGUUUCCACAAAUCUAAUUUAUCUUCUCUAGAUCUCAAGCCAUGAUUAUUCUUUCACAUGUGGUUCCGCUUUCAUAAUUCAGAUAUCCUGUGUUACAAUGAACUUGCAUAUGAGUUUGCUCACGUACUCCUGUCCCUGCCCCUGUCCUCACUCCUUGUUUGGUCUGUCUUCCCUAGUCAGAAUCCAAUUGAAUUGGCUAUUCCUCAGCCCUGUCUCACAAAACCACUCUAGAAUCCCUAGACACAUGAGUACCUAAGAAGGAAGUGGGGCCACGUGUUCAACUGUCCCCAGAGGGCUGGGGUCCUGACACAGCCCGUCACUGUGUGCAGGCAGGGCCUCUGAUUCUGUCUCCCAGUGUCCCGUCCCCUGACUCUGCAUCACCUCUGCCUUUUCCCCACCUCAGCUCUGCUUAAACCACAUCGAUCCAAGAUGACUCCAGUUUCCUUGGAAGCCAUUUGACAAAAACACAUAAAUACAUGAUAGAUUAUGCUUCGUGGUUCCACAGGAACUGUGUCUUGUCUGGGCCCAUGUUAUAUGGCCCAGAAACAACAGAGGCUACAUUCUCAUCCCCACGAACCAGGACGCUUGACACUGCCACCCCCCUAGAUCCUCCCUCAGAAUCCCAGCAUCUUAUUUUCCUUUUACUCCAUUGUCAAUCUGAGCUCUCCUCCAGGACCCAGACUUUCUUCCAGUCACCAUUUCUCCCCAGCACAGGUACACUUCCCAUAUAAACAACAGAAUGGGGGGAGAAACCCCUCUCUGCUACAUUUAAUUGUAUCAUUCUACCUUUAUGCUCUCCUUGUAUGUUCCUAACAAUCUGGAUUUGGUUAAGAAAGAUGAGGAAUGGGGAGAGGGACCACUCUCCUUUACCCCAGGGGCCUGGAAAGGUUCUCUGCCCCACUUUGCCCAUGUGUAUAUAUGUAUAUGGACAUACACACGUAGUCCAUAUACACGUACAUGCCAUGUGUUUGUCUGGCGCAUAUGCCAAUCCACUGGGUUACUUUGAGGGUCUCAGGCCUCAUCUGAGCUCCUUUUCCUGUUGGCAGGUAGUGCAUGCCUGGUCUGUUCCCUCCCAGUCAUGACCUUAUGUUGACUACAAGCCCAGAGUUGGAAGAAGAGCUCGUGGGAAGGAAGGCGGUAGUGGUAGUGGGGUUUCUGUACUAUGAGUCUCUUUUUUUGCUUUGCAGAAAGAGCUGGAUUUAUGCUCUCACUUUGGAGAGUAGUUGGCAGUUUCUGCUGAAACUGAAGAUGCGGAUGCCAGGGCUCACAGUAUUUCCCUCCUUUGAGGAAUUUUCCCACAAGUGUACGAAAAGACACGUGCAAGGAUGUUCGAGGCGGCGUUGUUAAUGCUGGUAGAAAAUCUUCAAGUCCACAAAUCAUUUCACUCUUCCCCGCCUUCCUCUUAUCACUCUGUACCCUGCCCCUGUGGCAGGGCUUCCUCAUGGGGGUGAUAUUGUAAAUGCUAGAGUUGGGCUCUUAGUAGACUUCCCGUAAGCCAUCGGUUCUCCAGCUAAGUGGGGAUGGGGGCAUAUAGCCUCUGCCAGGUGAGCUGGUGACAAUCUCAGAGGGACAUUAUGCAAGCAGGAUGGAGUGGGUGGCUUGAAAGUACAUGUUUAACAUAAUUUUAUAUUUGCCAAACGAUAAUACACUGCACAAUGCCCCAGGAAUUAUUUAUUUUAUCAGCAGGUGCAACAGUAGUUGCAUUGAGCUAGAUUAUAUGAACUAGAUGUUAUCAAGUACUCUAACUGCAAAAGAGGGGCUUUCACUGUGGCUUUGCAAACCUCCCACGCGUAAAGCACACUAAGUAUGCUCAUAAAUUUUACCCUGAUGAGCUUUUCUUAAUCGUUUUUUUUUAAGGAUACUUUUUUUAAGAUGUUUUUUUGAUAUGGACCAUUUUUAAAGUCUUUAUUGAAUUUGUUACAGUAUUGCUUCUGUUUUAUGGGGGGUUUGUUUUGUUGUUUUUUUGGCCACGAGGCAUGUGGAAUCUUAGCUCCACGACCAGGGAUUGAACCUGCACCCCCUGCGUUGGAAGGUGAAGUCUUAACCACUGGACCACCAGGGAAGUCCCCUUUCUUUAAUCCUUUAACCUCUUUCUUUAACCUUUGCUGACAAAAAAUCAAACGUACAGUUUUUUUCAGGAUGACACUGGCAAGUAUAAUUAGUAUUGAGCCUUCCCCUUCCUCCAGGUAAUAUAACUUCUAAGAUCAGAAAUUCUAUCUAUAUUUUAGAACAGCAUAUCACCACCUAAAUGAAGGUGAAGUAAUCCUGUCCCAUAAAACAAAAAGAAAAACUCCAGUGCAAACAAUCUUUAGAACAAGAUUCUUGACUAGCAUAAAGUGAUGAACAUGUUGGCCUGUGCAGAGCAAUUAUAAAUUAUUUAUCUAAACCAGUUUUGUUACUUUCUAUCUUGUGAUAGAAUUGUUCUGGUUUUUACAUCUCACUUAAUACAUCAAAAAGGUUUGCAUUUCACCAGGCAGACUUUAAACUCACGUCUAUGAAAGUUUAAGUGGCAUUAAACUUUAACUAUGAAAUUUUGAAUCAUUAGAUGCUUAAACACCAAGUAGCAUGAUGUUUUAUGUCUGUGCAAUUGCAUUCAUCAGAACGAGCAUGUUGGUCAUCUUACUGGACCAACAGUUCUCAAACUUGUUGAUCUCAGGACCCUUUCAUACUCUUAGAAAUUGCUGAGGACCCCAAAGAGACUUUUUACAUUUUUAUAGAUUUUAGAUGUUGACAUUUACGAAAGCUAUUGACAUUUACCAUAUUAGAAAUUAAGACUUUUAUUUUUUAAAUAUGUAUUAAUUUAUUUAAAAAUAAUAAUCGUAAGACCAUUAUAUGUUAAUAUAAAUAGCAUAUCUCCAUGAAAAUAACUUUGUUUUCAAAAAAAAAAACUACUGAGAAGAGUGGCAUUGUUUUACAUUUUUGCAGAUCUCUUUAAUGUCUAGCUUAAUAGAAGGCAGCUGUUUUCUCAUAUCUGUUCUUCAUUCAGUCCAUUGUGAUAUCACGUCAGGUAGUCUCUGAAAAACUCCGUUGUACAUUCAUUUGUGAGAGAAUGAGAUAAAAAAAAAAGGAAUUAGUAUCUUAAUAUCAUUAUGAAAAUAGUUUUGAUCCCACAGAUCACUGAAACGAUCUCUAGGCCCCCCAGGGGGUCUCCAGACCACAUUUUGAGAGCUGCUCUACUAGAUUCACAUAGUUAGAUGCCAUCUGGAUUGGUUUUUCCUCAAUUUGUGCUAUUUAAAGGGAAGAAGAAAGAAAGGGAGGAAGCAACUAAGG